This 385-nucleotide transfer-messenger RNA is filed under the name Saprospiraceae bacterium. It matches the Rfam family "transfer-messenger RNA". From Rfam's summary of the family: Bacterial tmRNA, also known as 10Sa RNA or SsrA, is named for its dual tRNA and mRNA-like properties. Its role is to liberate the mRNA from a stalled ribosome. The record is from RNAcentral. Lineage: Bacteria; Pseudomonadati; Bacteroidota; Saprospiria; Saprospirales; Saprospiraceae.
GGGGCUGACCUGGAAUCGACAGGAAUGUGUACUGGUCAGUAAGCAUGUCAGAGCAUGAGAGGUUACUCUGUAAAAAAUAACUUUCAAAUCUUAAGUGGCAACACUUAUGCUAUUGCUGCCUAAUUCUAGGAAUUAGUCCAGCUUUAUGCCGUCGAUCUGAUACCUAAUACAGGAUCCACCGCAUUCAAACCCAUCCUUAAGGAUGCUUAGGUUAGUCUCGACAAAACGUAACCGUUGGCGAGAUGAAAUUAAUUGGAAACUGGAUGUUGACAUGGGUUUGUCUUUUAGCCUACACCAACAUUGAGACUUAAAUUAAAGAAUAAACAUGUAGAAAGCUGAUGAGACCUUUGUCUGGACGGGAGUUCGACUCUCCCCAGCUCCACUU